CGGCAACAGCUCAAAUUUGAAAUCUGGCUCUUUCAGGGUCCGAGUUGUAAUUUGUAGAAGAUGCUUCGGGUGUGGCUCCGGUCUAAGUCCCUUGGAACAGGGCGUCGUAGAGGGUGAGAAUCCCGUCUUUGACACGGACCCCCGGUGCUGUGUGAUGCGCUCUCGAA
Molecule: ribosomal RNA, 167 nt
Filed under: Helotiales sp.
Lineage: Eukaryota; Fungi; Ascomycota; Leotiomycetes; Helotiales
Description: partial large subunit ribosomal RNA
Rfam family: Eukaryotic large subunit ribosomal RNA
Source: RNAcentral